RNAcentral lists this non-coding RNA (226 nucleotides) under Fictibacillus phosphorivorans. RNAcentral's name for it is "T-box sequence". It matches the Rfam family "T-box leader". From Rfam's summary of the family: Uncharged tRNA acts as the effector for transcription antitermination of genes in the T-box leader family. T-boxes are found upstream of many aminoacyl-tRNA synthetase genes and some amino acid biosynthetic genes usually in Gram-positive bacteria. The anticodon of a specific tRNA base pairs to a specifier sequence within the T-box motif, and the NCCA acceptor tail of the tRNA base pairs to a conserved bulge in the T-box antiterminator hairpin. Lineage: Bacteria; Bacillati; Bacillota; Bacilli; Caryophanales; Fictibacillaceae. The record is from RNAcentral.
UUAAACACUAUGAUUAGGAGUAUUAAGGAUAAUUUAUUGUUAAGAGAGCUGUUGGUUGGUGUAAAGCAGUCAAUAAAUUCCUGAACUCACCUAGGAGUGGUAAGGCUGAGGUUGACUAAACCUAGGUUUUAACGGUUUACCCCGUAAUCGGUUUAGAGUGGGUUUGUUAUUUAAGUAUCAAACCAAAAAGAGUGGUACCACGAAGGUAAAACCUGUCGUCUCUUAU